UUGCCUGCCCAGUGACAAUGUUAAACGGCCGCGGUAUUUUGACCGUGCGAAGGUAGCGCAAUCACUUGUCUUUUAAAUGAAGACCUGUAUGAAUGGUGAAACGAGGGCUUAGCUGUCUCCCUUUUCUAGUCAAUGAAAUUGAUCUGCCCGUGCAGAAGCGGACAUAAAAAUACAAGACGAGAAGACCCUUUGGAGCUUAUUGUAUAAAGAUCAUCUAUGUCAAUGGGCCCCAACACGGCAACAAACUAAAUAGCAACUGAUCUUAAUCUUCGGUUGGGGCGACCACGGGAGAAAAUAGAGCUCCCACGCGGACUGGGGUAAACCCUAAAACCAAGAAAAACAUUUCUAAGCAACAGAACUUCUGACCAUUAAGAUCCGGCUACACGCCGACCAACGGACCAAGUUACCCUAGGGAUAACAGCGCAAUCCCCUUUCACAGUCCAUAUCGACAAGGGGGUUUACGACCUCGAUGUUGGAUCAAGACAUCCUAAUGGUGCAUCCGCUAUUAAGGGUUCGUUUGUUCAACGAUUAAAGUCCUACUUGAUCUGAUUUCAAACCGGUUCACAAGAACCAAAGUAAUAUGCGAGAGUUAGUCAUAAGGGGUACAGCCCUUACGAAACAGAAUACAACCUCACCAGGUGGUUAAAGAUUAUAUUAAACAAGAUAAACUGCUUCAGUGGGCCUAAAAGCAGCCACCUGAUCAG
This 704-nucleotide ribosomal RNA is filed under the name Glyptothorax sp. 8157E. RNAcentral's name for it is "partial 16S ribosomal RNA". It matches the Rfam family "Bacterial large subunit ribosomal RNA", at positions 1854 to 2629 of the family's 2925-position model. The record is from RNAcentral. Lineage: Eukaryota; Metazoa; Chordata; Actinopteri; Siluriformes; Sisoridae.